GGAGCGGUAGUUCAGCUGGUUAGAACGCCACACUGUCACUGUGGAGGUCGCGGGUUCGAGUCCCGUCCGUUCCGCCA
This 77-nucleotide transfer RNA is filed under the name bacterium. Its description in RNAcentral is "tRNA-Asp". It matches the Rfam family "tRNA". Rfam says of the family: Transfer RNA (tRNA) molecules are approximately 80 nucleotides in length. The record is from RNAcentral. RNAcentral also lists the same sequence under 3 other names.